UCGGGAAUUUUGGGCAAUGGGCGAAAGCCUGACCCAGCAACGCCGCGUGAAGGAUGAAGUCUCUCGGGAUGUAAACUUCGUAAGAAUAGGAAGAAUAAAUGACGGUACUAUUUGUAAGGUCCGGCUAACUACGUGCCAGCAGCCGCGGUAAUACGUAGGGACCAAGCGUUGUUCGGAUUUACUGGGCGUAAGGGGCGCGUAGGCGGCGUGGUAAGUCACUUGUGAAAUCUCCGAGCUUAACUCGGAACGGUCAAGUGAUACUGCUGUGCUAGAGUACAGAAGGGGCAAUCGGAAUUCUUGGUGUAGCGGUGAAAUGCGUAGAUAUCAAGAGGAACACCUGAGGUGAAGACGGGUUGCUGGGCUGAUACUGACGCUGAGGCGCGAAAGCUAGGGUAGCAAACGGGAUUAGAUACCCACGUAGUCCCUGAGCGGGCUGGCAAGGCGCAU
This 447-nucleotide ribosomal RNA is filed under the name uncultured bacterium. RNAcentral describes it as "bacterial SSU rRNA". It matches the Rfam family "Bacterial small subunit ribosomal RNA", at positions 355 to 825 of the family's 1533-position model. The record is from RNAcentral.